Molecule: ribosomal RNA, 1466 nt
Filed under: uncultured Bordetella sp.
Lineage: Bacteria; Pseudomonadati; Pseudomonadota; Betaproteobacteria; Burkholderiales; Alcaligenaceae
Description: partial 16S-23S ribosomal RNA intergenic spacer
Rfam family: Bacterial small subunit ribosomal RNA
Source: RNAcentral
AGUUUGAUUCUGGCUCAGAUUGAACGCUGGCGGGAUGCUUUACACAUGCAAGUCGAACGGCAGCACGGACUUCGGUCUGGUGGCGAGUGGCGAACGGGUGAGUAAUGUAUCGGAACGUGCCUAGUAGCGGGGGAUAACUACGCGAAAGCGUAGCUAAUACCGCAUACGCCCUUCGGGGGAAAGCGGGGGGACCCCGCCUCGCACUAUUGAGAGCGGCCGAUAUCGGAUUAGCUAGUUGGUGGGGUAACGGCUCACUGGCGACGAUCCGUAGCUGGUUUGAGAGGACGACCAGCCACACUGGGACCAGACACGGCCCAGACUCACGGGAGGCAGCAGUGGGGAAUUUUGACAAUGGGGAAGUUCUGAUCCAGCCAUCCAUCAGGCGUGUGCGAUGAAGGCCUUCGCUUGUAAAGCACUUUUGGCAGGAAAGAAACGGCACGGGAUAAUACCCCGUGCAACUGACGGUACCUGCAGAAUAAGCACCGGCUAACUACGUGCCAGCAGCCGCGGUAAUACGUAGGUGCAAGCUAAUCGGAAUUACUGGCGUAAAGCGUGCAGGCGGCUCGGAAAGAAAGAUGUAAAUCCCAGAGCUUAACUUUGGAACUGCAUUUUUAACUACCGAGCUAGAGGUGUCAGAGGGAGGUGGAAUUCCGCGUGUAGCAGUGAAAUGCGUAGAUAUGUGAGGAACACCGAUGGCGAAGGCAGCCUCCUGGGAUAACACUGACGCUCAUGCACGAAAGCGUGGGGGCGGGUACCAGAUUAGAUACCCCGUAGUCCACGCCCUAAACGAUGUCAACUAGCUGUUGGGGCCUUCGCCCCAGGCGCAGCUAACGCGUAGUGUGUUGACCGCUCGUGAGGUACGGUCGCAAGAUUAAAACCUCAGCAUCGACGGGGACCGCACAAGCGGUGGAUGAUGUGGAUUAAUUCGAUGCAACGCGAAAAACCUGCCUACCCUUGACAUGUCUGGAAUCCCGAAGAGAUUGGGAGUGCUCGCAAGAGAAACUGGAACACAGGGUAUGUAGCGAUGUCGUCAGUUCGUGUCGAGAUGUUGGGUUAAGUCCCGCAACGAGCGCAACCCCGCUUCGCUGCUACGAAGGGCACUCUAUCGAUCGCCGGUGACAAACCGAGGAAGGUGGGGAUGACGCGUCAAGUCCUCAUGGCCCCAGGUAGGGCUUCACACGUCAUACAAUGGUCGGGACAGAGUGGUCGCCAACCCAGAGGGGGAGCUGCGCCAAUCCCAGAAACCCGAUCGUAGUCCGGAUCGCAGUCUGCAACUCGACUGCGUGAAGUCGGAAUCGCUAGUAAUCGCGGAUCAGCAUGUCGCGGUGAAUACGUUCCCGGGUCUUGUACACACCGCCUGUCACACCAUGGGAGUGGGUUUUAUCAGAAGUAGCAGCCUAACCGUAAGGAGUGGGCGAUUACCACGGUAGGAUUCAGACUGGGGUGAAGUCGUACUAGCGAAGCCC